This 552-nucleotide long non-coding RNA is filed under the name Salvator merianae (Argentine black and white tegu). RNAcentral describes it as "lncRNA (ENSSMRG00000017731.1)". Lineage: Eukaryota; Metazoa; Chordata; Lepidosauria; Squamata; Teiidae. The record is from RNAcentral.
CUGAGCUCCUAUUACGGGAUUAAAUCAGAAGAGCCCCAUUAUUUCUUAUAUUAUCCUAUAGCGUUAGUUACUCUGCCUGCCUGCUGAGUUGCCAUUGUAAACAUUUCCCCUAGAAUGCCAGUACAGAGGCAAUGAACAGCCCUUUGGGACACACAAACGAAGGCUGGAGUUCUUGAGGAAUAGAUGUGCACAGUUAUAACGCAGGAUGCCUACUUCAGGAGUGGCUGGUCUAUAUGGACAAAGAGUGGAGCCACAAGUAGCAAAGGAAGAGUGGAUAACAACUGAAAGCCACACUUCCNCCCAACUUAGUGCUCAACUGACCAGGUUCUGGUUCAAAUGCAUGGAAGUGAGACUUUGAAUGGUAUAUCACAGAUACAUGUUCACUCACUUGGCCGCUUACUUGCCCCUACUGCCUGUUCAUCCAUCACAUUUUGAGUUAUUCCUCUUAAAAUCAGGAGGUCUAUUAUAGAUAGCAUCCGCAUAUACAGUCAUCCUGUACAUCCUGAAUGUCCUCCGUGUUUCUGAAACAUCAAACUUCAAAAGAAGUAGGGU